This 245-nucleotide unclassified non-coding RNA is filed under the name Glomeraceae sp. Its description in RNAcentral is "partial contains 5.8S ribosomal RNA and internal transcribed spacer 2". The stretch from base 1 to 71 matches the Rfam family "5.8S ribosomal RNA", at positions 84 to 154 of the family's 154-position model. Lineage: Eukaryota; Fungi; Glomeromycota; Glomeromycetes; Glomerales; Glomeraceae. The record is from RNAcentral.
GUGAAUCAUCAAAUCUUUGAACGCAAAUUGCACUCCCUGGUAUUCCGUGGAGUAUGCCUGUUUGAGGGUCGUUAGAAGAAAAAUCGAAGCAUCGCUCUUUUUUUUGAGGGUGAUCGCGUCGGAAUUGAUCCGUCUUUAAAAUUUUAAUGCAUUUCUGAGUGGCUUAAAAUUAACCCAUCCGGGACGAUUAAAGCGUAUUGAAGAGCAAUUUUGAUUAAGAACGCGCGAUUACGUACCAGCUCAUG